This 1296-nucleotide ribosomal RNA is filed under the name Triticum aestivum (bread wheat). RNAcentral describes it as "partial small subunit ribosomal RNA". Lineage: Eukaryota; Viridiplantae; Streptophyta; Magnoliopsida; Poales; Poaceae. The record is from RNAcentral.
AUGAGAUUUUUUUUUGUGGAUGGAAACAUACGAGAUUUGAGUUCACCUAACGCGGUGUCCUGCUACUGCAGGGUAGAUGGAGGCCUUAAAACUGUUGUCAAUGCUAGAAAGUUCGUCCCUGGUGCUAGACUGUGUAUGCAACCUGAUGUCAAACCGAACAAGCGCAAGUCAAGGACCUCACGCAAGGAGAGGUGCCGAACUCAGGCGCCACUUCUGCCUGGACUUCCUGAUGACCUGGCUAUUUCAUGUCUGAUGCGGGUUCCUCGAGUGGAGCACCCUAAUCUUCGUUUAGUCUGUAAAAGAUGGAGCCGACUUUUAUCUGGUAAUUAUUAUUACACACUGCGGAAGAAAUUUGGCAUGGCAGAAGAAUGGGUUUAUGUCUUCAAAAGGGAUCGUGAUCAGAAAAUAUCUUGGCAUGCCUUUGAUCCGGUGCACCAGCUCUGGAAGUCACUUCCUCCAGUUCCACCAGAGUAUUCGGAAGCCGUGGGAUUUGGUUGCGCUGUUCUCAGUGGCUGCUAUUUGUACUUAUUUGGUGGCAAAGGCUCAGUGCGAGGGUCUAUGAGGCGUGUUGUCUUUUACAAUACUCGGACAAACAAGUGGCACCGGGCCCCUGAUAUGCUACGGAAGCGGCAUUUCUUUGGUUCUUGUGUAAUAACCAAUUGCCUCUAUGUUGCUGGUGGGGAGUGUGAAGGGAUACAGAGAACUCUAAGGUCUGCAGAGGUUUACAAUCCAAACAGGAAUAGAUGGUCUUGCAUUACUGAAAUGAGCAUAGGAAUGGUGCCUUUCAUUGGAGUUGUAUAUGAUGGCAAGUGGUUCCUAAAAGGAUUUGAUUCUCACCGGCAGAUUGUGAGCGAGGUCUAUCUGCCAACAUCGAACAUGUGGUCAACCACUGGUAAUGAACUGGUUGCAGGCUUACGGAAUCCAAGCAUUUCGUUUAACGGUCGUCUUUAUUCAGUGGAUUGUCGGGAUGCCUGCAAGCUAAGAGUUUAUGAUGGGGACAAGGGAUUGUGGACAAGGUUCAUGGACAGUAGACGCCAUCUAGGCAGCUCGCGGUCUUUUGAAGCUGUGGCUUUGGUCUCACUGGAUGGAAAGAUCUGUGUUAUCCGUAAUAACAUGGGCAUCACCCUUGUUGAUGUCUGUGACCCAACAACAGUUAUUGAGAUUGACAGUGCCCGCAUGUGGGAGACUUUUGCCCGGAAGGGCCAACACAGAUCUUUCAUGGCAAACUUGUGGUCAACAAUUGUAGGGCGUCAUUUAAAGACCCACAUUAUCCAUUGCCAAGUGCUCCAAGUUUGA